This is a long non-coding RNA of Andrographis paniculata, 590 nucleotides long. RefSeq lists it as uncharacterized. The record is from RefSeq and is a predicted model, not a curated record. The transcript is spliced from 2 exons. NCBI's taxonomy places the organism in Eukaryota, Viridiplantae, Streptophyta, Magnoliopsida, Lamiales, Acanthaceae.
GUUAUGAGGUUAGUGUUGGUGUAAACGAAAUUGGAGUACGAGGCUAUUAAAGUAUUUAGAGUUGAAUCCGGGAAGAUGGAAAAUCAAUCGAACGAGGAGAAGAGAGGAAGAGAUCAUCUGGCGGCGGCGACCGAAAGCACCGAUUUCACCUUCGGUGUCGGAUUCCGUGUGAUUGAGAGAGCCGGACGACGGAAGCCGCUUGUGUCUAAGCAUCCCUCCGCUGGUUGGUUGAUCCUGAAGCAGCUCUCCAAGUGUGAGAGAUCAUUCGAUGACCGCGCGCAUUGAAGUUUGAAGAAAUUAUAUACCUCUGAAUACUGAUGAAGGAGGUUCACUUCUACUGCGUAAAUUGAUCUCAGGCUCAGGUAUAUACUUGAUUUUUUAUUUUGUUGCUCAAUUUUUCUUUGAGUUUCUUGUUGCUGUUAUGAAAAAUUGACAUUAUUGGUACGUACGGAAAACAUUUUCAUCUUGUGUGGGACUGCAUUUUAAGAUCAUAGAUCAUUUCAUACCAACUUGUAACUUGAGAGCAGCAGUAUCAGUAUUGGUGUUUAUCAAUACACUUAAUGCACUCAAAUCUAAGGUGUCCCUGGAAA